RNAcentral lists this ribosomal RNA (303 nucleotides) under uncultured bacterium. RNAcentral's name for it is "partial 16S ribosomal RNA". It matches the Rfam family "Bacterial small subunit ribosomal RNA", at positions 507 to 807 of the family's 1533-position model. The record is from RNAcentral.
AGCAGUCGCCGCGGGAAUACAGAGGGUGCGAGCGUUAAUCGGAUUUACUGGGCGUAAAGCGUGCGUAGGCGGCUUUUUAAGUCGGAUGUGAAAUCCCUGAGCUUAACUUAGGAAUUGCAUUCGAUACUGGGAAGCUAGAGUAUGGGAGAGGAUGGUAGAAUUCCAGGUGUAACGGUGAAAUGCGUAGAGAUCUGGAGGAAUACCGAUGGCGAAGGCAGCCAUCUGGCCUAAUACUGACGCUGAGGUACGAAAGCAUGGGGAGCAAACAGGAUUAGAUACCCCUGUAGUCCCUGUCUCUUAUAC